Non-coding RNA from Ictidomys tridecemlineatus (thirteen-lined ground squirrel), 265 nucleotides. NCBI's taxonomy places the organism in Eukaryota, Metazoa, Chordata, Mammalia, Rodentia, Sciuridae. The record is from RefSeq and is a predicted model, not a curated record.
CAGUGAUAAAGUUUAAAAAGAGAGAGAAAGAGAGAUCAAUGAAAAUGGUAUAAAAGCUCUGUGUCUUUGCCUUUCUGAAAACACCCUGGAUAUGCUGUGAACACAAUUCCAAGACUUGGAACAUGUUUUGAAGACCUUUGGCAGCAUCCAGCCUCUGUGCGGGAAGCCUGUAGCUCCCUGUUAGACCAUGUCUUUCACUAUCAAAUUCAAAGCAUACAAAAUAUUAAACUAAAUAUUAAAGGAACAUAAGAUUUUAUAUAAUAAA